GGGACUUUAAGUUAAGCAAACUGAAAACCUUCAAAGUUUUAUAUACACAUAAGUAAGUCCUG
RNAcentral lists this transfer RNA (62 nucleotides) under Scutopus ventrolineatus. RNAcentral describes it as "tRNA-Trp". The record is from RNAcentral. Lineage: Eukaryota; Metazoa; Mollusca; Caudofoveata; Limifossorida; Scutopodidae.